RNAcentral lists this ribosomal RNA (407 nucleotides) under Nematoda environmental sample. RNAcentral describes it as "SSU rRNA". It matches the Rfam family "Eukaryotic small subunit ribosomal RNA", at positions 29 to 436 of the family's 1831-position model. Lineage: Eukaryota; Metazoa; Nematoda. The record is from RNAcentral.
UGCUUGUCUCAAAGAUUAAGCCAUGCAUGUCUAUGCACAAGCCGAAUACGGUGAAGCCGCGAAUGGCUCAUUACAACAGCCACUGUUUACUUGAUUCUGAUUAUCCUACUUGGAUAACUGUGGUAAUUCUAGAGCUAAUACAUGCAACCAAGCUCCGACCGUAAGGGACGAGCGCAUUUAUUAGAACAAAACCAAUCGGGCUUCGGCCUGAGGUUUGGUGAAUCUGAAUAACUGAGCUGAUCGCAUGGUCUUUGUACCGGCGACGCAUCUUUCAUGUGUCUGCCUUAUCAACUUUCGAUGGUAGUUUAUGUGCCUACCAGGGUUGUAACGGGUAACGGAGAAUAAGGGUUCGACUCCGGAGAGGGAGCCUGAGAAACGGCUACCACAUCCRAGGAAGGCAGCAGGCA